RNAcentral lists this ribosomal RNA (119 nucleotides) under Ricinus communis (castor bean). The record is from RNAcentral. Lineage: Eukaryota; Viridiplantae; Streptophyta; Magnoliopsida; Malpighiales; Euphorbiaceae.
GGGUGCGAUCAUACCAGCACUGAUGCACCGGAUCCCAUAAAAACUCCGAAGUUAAACGUGCUUGGGCAAGAGUAGUACUAAGAUGGGUGACCUCUUGGGAAUUCCUCGUGUUGCACCCC